Long non-coding RNA from Thalassophryne amazonica, 108 nucleotides. RefSeq lists it as uncharacterized. The record is from RefSeq and is a predicted model, not a curated record. The transcript has 3 exons. Lineage: Eukaryota; Metazoa; Chordata; Actinopteri; Batrachoidiformes; Batrachoididae.
AGGUUGAAGAGGAGGAAGAGGAACUGAUGAUGAUAACACUGGAGAAACGAAACAGUCCUGGUUGUGGAGGCUUCGACAGGCUCCUAAAGGUGGAAUGAAGGUCUGGGC